RNAcentral lists this non-coding RNA (89 nucleotides) under marine eukaryotic metagenome. RNAcentral describes it as "Glycine riboswitch". It matches the Rfam family "Glycine riboswitch aptamer", at positions 9 to 90 of the family's 94-position model. Rfam says of the family: This family represents the bacterial glycine riboswitch. Glycine riboswitches usually consist of two metabolite-binding aptamers domains with similar structures in tandem. The record is from RNAcentral.
AUCGGGAGAGUGAAACGCACGUUCGUUGUGCGGGUUCACGCCGAAGGAGCAACCUCCCCGGAAUCUCUCAGGCACAAGGACCGAUACGG